GCACGGGUGAGUAACACGUGGAUCAUCUACCUCUUAGUGGGGAAUAACCCUGGGAAACCGGGGCUAAUACCGCAUAAGCCUGUGAAGGGAAAGCAGCAAUGCGCUGAGAGAGGAGUCCGCGGCGAUUAGCUAGUUGGUAGGGUAAAGGCCUACCAAGGCAAUGAUCGGUAGCCGGCCUGAGAGGGCACACGGCCACACUGGCACUGAAACACGGGCCAGACUCCUACGGGAGGCAGCAGUGGGGAAUCUUGCACAAUGGAGGAAACUCUGAUGCAGCGACGCCGCGUGAGCGAUGAAGCCCUUCGGGGUGUAAAGCUCUUUCGACGGGAACGAUAAUGACGGUACCCGGAGAAGAAGCUGCGGCUAACUACGUGCCAGCAGCCGCGGUAAUACGUAGGCAGCAAGCGUUGUUCGGAAUUACUGGGCGUAAAGAGUGUGUAGGCGGUUCUCUAUGUUCGGUGUGAAAUCUCCCGGCUUAACUGGGAGGGUGCGCCGAAAGCUGGAGGGCUUGAGUAUGGGAGAGGAAAGCGGAAUUCCUGGUGUAGCGGUGAAAUGCGUAGAUAUCAGGAGGAACACCUGGCGGUG
RNAcentral lists this ribosomal RNA (585 nucleotides) under uncultured bacterium. RNAcentral's name for it is "bacterial SSU rRNA". It matches the Rfam family "Bacterial small subunit ribosomal RNA", at positions 100 to 720 of the family's 1533-position model. The record is from RNAcentral.